RNAcentral lists this ribosomal RNA (497 nucleotides) under uncultured bacterium. Its description in RNAcentral is "partial 16S ribosomal RNA". It matches the Rfam family "Bacterial small subunit ribosomal RNA", at positions 28 to 507 of the family's 1533-position model. The record is from RNAcentral.
GAUGAACGCUGGCGGCGUGCCUAAUACAUGCCAGUCGAGCGAACAGACGAGGAGCUUGCUCCUCUGACGUUAGCGGCGGACGGGUGAGUAACACGUGGAUAACCUACCUAUAAGACUGGGAUAACUUCGGGAAACCGGAGCUAAUACCGGAUAAUAUAUUGAACCGCAUGGUUCAAUAGUGAAAGACGGUUUUGCUGUCACUUAUAGAUGGAUCCGCGCCGCAUUAGCUAGUUGGUAAGGUAACGGCUUACCAAGGCAACGAUGCGUAGCCGACCUGAGAGGGUGAUCGGCCACACUGGAACUGAGACACGGUCCAGACUCCUACGGGAGGCAGCAGUAGGGAAUCUUCCGCAAUGGGCGAAAGCUUGACGGAGCAACGCCGCGUGAGUGAUGAAGGUCUUCGGAUCGUAAAGCUCUGUUAUUAGGGAAGAACAAAUGUGUAAGUAACUAUGCACGUCUUGACGGUACCUAAUCAGAAAGCCACGGCUAACUACGUG